ACUAUCUGCAACAAAGUCCAUGCGCUCGAUGCCAGACGACACUGCCUCAAGCCAGAGCGCCUUGGCCAGCUAGGAAGCGAUAACUGUUAGCUACUCAGAACCAACGUUUUCAACAAUAUUCGUACCUACUGCACAGCAAUGAUCAUCCCUGUUCGUUGUUUUACGUGCGGUAAAAUUGUAGGGAAUAAAUGGGAGGCGUACCUCGGUCUUCUCCAAGCAGAGUACACUGAAGGCGACGCCCUUGAUGCUCUGGGUCUGAAGAGAUACUGCUGCCGGAGGAUGCUUCUCGCCCAUGUUGAUCUCAUUGAGAAGCUGUUGAAUUAUGCUCCGUUGGAGAAAUGAUAAUUUACAGAAAACGAAUGUAUUCCGUUUUAUGAAUUUAUGACCAAGCCAAACCUAAUUUCUUUAAGAAAUCAAUCCCAGAACCCUCAUGCUUGGAUGGAUAUUAAGGCAACUAGAUCAUCAAAUCAGUACUCCAUUUGUAUUAUUUUCAAAAUAAACGUUGACAAAUGUGA
RNA transcript from Hypomesus transpacificus, 515 nucleotides. It is a transcript of the gene named RNA polymerase II, I and III subunit L, with no coding region annotated. The record is from RefSeq and is a predicted model, not a curated record. Lineage: Eukaryota; Metazoa; Chordata; Actinopteri; Osmeriformes; Osmeridae. The transcript is spliced from 4 exons.